This 265-nucleotide ribosomal RNA is filed under the name uncultured bacterium. RNAcentral describes it as "partial 16S ribosomal RNA". It matches the Rfam family "Bacterial small subunit ribosomal RNA", at positions 793 to 1055 of the family's 1533-position model. The record is from RNAcentral.
GUCCACGCCCUAAACGAUGAUGACUAGUUGUUGGGGGAGUUAAAUCCCUUGGUAACGCAGCUAACGCGUGAAGUCAUCCGCCUGGGGAGUACGGUCGCAAGAUUAAAACUCAAAGGAAUUGACGGGGGCCCGCACAAGCGGUGGAUGAUGUGGUUUAAUUCGAUGCAACGCGAAAACCUUACCUACCCUUGACAUGUCAGGAAUCCUCCAGAGACGGGGGAGUGCCCGAAAGGGAGCCUGAACACAGGUGCUGCAUGGCUGUCGU